Betta splendens (Siamese fighting fish) is the source of this 831-nucleotide long non-coding RNA. RefSeq lists it as uncharacterized. NCBI's taxonomy places the organism in Eukaryota, Metazoa, Chordata, Actinopteri, Anabantiformes, Osphronemidae. The record is from RefSeq and is a predicted model, not a curated record. The transcript has 3 exons.
UCAGGCUCCGGCUGCAAAUGGCCGCUUUGUGGGGAAGGCGAAAACCGAGAAGUGCACUCGAACUCACGGGCUGCCACACAGAAAUCACACAGCCAGUAAGCUUACACCUAUGAUUUUGUGUGGUGGGAUUAAAAAAAAAAAAAAAAAAAAAAAACUCGCUGGACCACACACACACGGCUUUUGUUGCUAGGUUACACUGGGCAGGAAUAUCACACGUGGGUGGCUGCGUGUGGGUGUGCUCUGGACCGUGUGUGUGUGUGUGUGUGUGUGUGUGUGUGUGUGAGGGGGGGUUCCAGCCUCCGUGGCCGCGCUGUGUUUUAACAGAUGCACAUUUGUGAAUGAGUCCAAGCCGCAGGUGGCGGUGCGUUACUGGAAACAGCCGGCGACCACGGCGAGCGCGUGAUGUGACUCCACCUCAGAUCUCCAAAAUCAGCUCGGCGAGUUCACUGCGUAAUAAGAUAACGGACAAAACUAUGGGAGGAAGUUCUGUGGCCGAACAUAUUGACUGAACCAGCCCAGAUCGGACCUGUCAGCAUCAGCGGGAGUGCUCCAACUGGUGACGUCUGUGGGAGGAACCGACCGAAGAGGCAGCGUUUAUAGAGAGAGAGAGAGAGAGAGAGAGAGAGAGAGAGAGAGAGAGAGAGAGAGAGAGAGAGAGAGAGAGAGAGAGAGAGAGAGAGAGAGAGAGAGAGAGCGCGCAAACGUUUAUGCUGCUUCUUUGCUGCUUCUUUGCUUCUGAUAGACUUGGAUUUGUAGUGUUUCCAAAAAAAUGUAUCCACCCUCCAGAACGGAUGCAAAUGCUUCACACAUCUCCCAAGCAUUAAAGCCCCC